Transfer RNA from Camelus ferus (Wild Bactrian camel), 72 nucleotides. It matches the Rfam family "tRNA". From Rfam's summary of the family: Transfer RNA (tRNA) molecules are approximately 80 nucleotides in length. Their secondary structure includes four short double-helical elements and three loops (D, anti-codon, and T loops). Further hydrogen bonds mediate the characteristic L-shaped molecular structure. tRNAs have two regions of fundamental functional importance: the anti-codon, which is responsible for specific mRNA codon recognition, and the 3' end, to which the tRNAs corresponding amino acid is attached (by aminoacyl-tRNA synthetases). tRNAs cope with the degeneracy of the genetic code in two manners: having more than one tRNA (with a specific anti-codon) for a particular amino acid; and 'wobble' base-pairing, i.e. permitting non-standard base-pairing at the 3rd anti-codon position. The record is from Rfam. Lineage: Eukaryota; Metazoa; Chordata; Mammalia; Artiodactyla; Camelidae.
GAGGGUAUAGCUCAGUGGUAGAGUGCCUGGUCAGCAUGCACGGGGUCCUGGGUUCAAUCUCCAGUACCUCCA